RNAcentral lists this ribosomal RNA (419 nucleotides) under uncultured bacterium. RNAcentral's name for it is "bacterial SSU rRNA". It matches the Rfam family "Bacterial small subunit ribosomal RNA", at positions 106 to 559 of the family's 1533-position model. The record is from RNAcentral.
GUGAGUAACGCGUUGGAAUCUGCCCUAGACUCAGGGAUAACCCACCGAAAGGUGGGCUAAUACCGGAUGGUCCCGCAAGGGUAAAGCUUUUGCGGUCUAGGAGGAUCCUGCGUACUAUCAGCUUGUUGGUAAGGUAACGGCUUACCAAGGCUAUGACGGUUAGCUGGUCUGAGAGGAUGAUCAGCCACAAUGGGACUGAGACACGGCCCAUACUCCUACGGGAGGCAGCAGUAAGGAAUAUUGCACAAUGGGGGAAACCCUGAUGCAGCAACACCGCGUGAUCGAUGAAGCUUUUCGGAGUGUAAAGAUCUUUUCUGAAGGAAUAAUUCUGAAGGUACUUCAGGAAUAAGCACCGGCUAAUUACGUGCCAGCAGCCGCGGUAAUACGUAAGGUGCAAGCGUUAUCCGGAAUCAUUGGGC